UACAGAGGUCUCAAGCGUUGUUCGGAUUCAUUGGGCGUAAAGGGUGCGUAGGUGGCGAUGCAAGUCUGGUGUGAACUCUCGGGGCUCAACCCCGAAAUUGCACCGGAUACUGCGUUGCUCGAGGACUGUAGAGGAGAGUGGAAUUCACGGUGUAGCAGUGAAAUGCGUAGAUAGCGGGAGGAAGACCAGUUGCGAAGGCGACGCUCGGGGCAGUUCCUGACACUGAGGCACGAAGGCCAGGGGAGCAAACGGG
RNAcentral lists this ribosomal RNA (253 nucleotides) under uncultured bacterium. Its description in RNAcentral is "partial 16S ribosomal RNA". It matches the Rfam family "Bacterial small subunit ribosomal RNA", at positions 524 to 776 of the family's 1533-position model. The record is from RNAcentral.